UGGAUUUCUUGUAAUCAGCA
This 20-nucleotide small nuclear RNA is filed under the name Arabidopsis thaliana (thale cress). RNAcentral describes it as "snRNA_17195". The record is from RNAcentral. Lineage: Eukaryota; Viridiplantae; Streptophyta; Magnoliopsida; Brassicales; Brassicaceae.